Molecule: non-coding RNA, 2193 nt
Organism: Manis javanica (Malayan pangolin)
Lineage: Eukaryota; Metazoa; Chordata; Mammalia; Pholidota; Manidae
Source: RefSeq, a predicted model, not a curated record
GAGAGGAUUCGAUGAUGGUCUCUAAUUUUUCAAGCCCUGGCUUGACUGACUGCAUGGAUGGUGAUACAACUUGCAGAACUGAGGAAGGCUUUAGGGAAGCGACUUGGAGGAAGAGGUCAAGUGUUCUGUUAUGGACAUGUGUUCUCAGAGCUUCAGAAUCGGACUUUGGUUCACAUUGAACCCUGGCUCUGCUACUUACUAGCUUGACCUUGAACAAGUUAUUAAACCUUCUGAAGCCUCAGUUUCCUCACCUGCAGAAUGAAGAGAGCAACAAUCUUUAUUCCAAAGGGCCAUUGUGAAGAUUAUACUAAGAGAAGAUAGUCUUCAGCCCAAGCCAUUGUCAAACAGCUCUGCGCUCCCAACACUCCCCAGCUGUGGCUAAUUAUACCAAAAUGCAGCUAUCAAGAUUGUGAAAUCAAGGACCAGAGAGAAGUUUGCUGUCCAAGGCCACACAGCAAGUUAUUGGUAAGGCUAGACCCGGAAGCCAGGUAUCCCAACUCCCAAAGCAGUGCUCUUUACACAACACUACUCCACUUUCACCAACCCCAUUUAUCACUAAGCCAAACCUUUGUGGCUUAAGACAACAGCACUCACUUUAUUUCAUCUCAUAUGUCUGUGGGUCAGGAAUUUGGGAAGGGCUCAGCUGGGUGGUUCAGGCGCAGGGUCAUUCAUAAGGCUGUCAUCAGGGUGGAUGGGGCUGGAGCAGCUGGGAACAGAUCAGGCAUUUCUCUCUUCAUGUAGUCUUAAAGACUCCUCAUGUGAUCUUGGCAUGUGAGUUAGUUUGGGCUUCCUCACGGUAUGGUGUCAGUUGAAUGAAUCACAGGGUGGCGCAAGGCUUCAAGAGUGAGUGCUCCAGCAAACAAGGUAGAAGCUGGGUCUCCCUUCUUCACUUCUGACUAGUCAUGAGCGUGCCCACCUCUGGGGUAAGGACCAUAGCCCCUACAUCUCAGUGGGGUAAUGUCAAAGUCACAUUGUAAAAAGUGCACAUGGAAUGUGACUUAGUGUUGCAGCCUUCUUGGGAAAAUACUACCUGCCACCCCAAUGUUACUUCCCACUUUUCCCUCACAUGGGCUUCCUGCUUCAGCCAGUGGCUCCCCCAGACCCUUCAGACAAGCCUUCUGCUGUCUUGCUUGUGUAGUUUGGCUACACAAACUACAGGCCCCUGCCCAGGGUGCUCUCCUCUCUGCUCCAGUGCCUUCCUUAAGGUUCCCUAAAGACUCCUGAGAGCACCACAUGCAGCACUUUCCCCCCAGUCAAAGCAUACAGACAUUUGCAUGUUUAAUAGGCUGGGUUGCUCCACACUUGCUCAAAGCAGUCUGACCAGUGGCUGUGGGUUUCCACAUCUGGGCCCUGAGCGUCUGGAUUCUGGUGGUUAAACUGUCCUCAUUCUUCCAAGGUCACAGGGCCUCAGGUUCACGUUGCUUCUGGCCAUAAAAGGCAGGAAAAAGUGGUGGCCAUAGUGCAGUGUCUCUUCUGAGGGAGGCAUGGGAGCAGACCAGGCUCUGAGCACAAGGUCCUGGUAGUCAGGUGACAGGUGGCAGUUAACUGUGUUGGCCAGAGCCCUUGGCUGGGAAGCAGGAAGCCCGGGUCCCAGUGCUAGCUUUCUGGCCAAUCUGAUGCAUGCAGGACGUAAGGCAAACCCCUCAACCUCUCACUGGGCCUUAGUUUCCCCACUUCUGCAAUAUGAAGCCUAGAACUUUCCCUUCCUACCUUUGUGAUGAGCAGAGAAGGAAAUGGGAUGAUCCCUCUGAGAGCAGAAAAUGCUGUUAAAAUGAUAAUAAGUCUUGUAUGUGUUUCUUCUGUCAACCAUACUUCCUCACCAGCUGGUAGACUUGAGAGAGUAUGUGAGUUGGCAGGUCAAUGGUUAUGGAGGUGGUAUUGAUCAAUGGCUUUCUGUGGAGAAAGUGAAGGUUCCUAUGGCCAGGAUUCUCACCUGGCCCUGGUCAGCUUGCUCACUACACGCCUGAGGACAAUACGUUGUUACUGACUCUAUAUAAAGAGCUCUGCCCAGUGCUCUGGGCUUUACAGCUGCAGGAGAGCAGAGACGAGGCUGGAGUGGUGGCAGCGCCGAGGACAGAAACAGAGACGACUGCGGAGUCAUAGAGGCCAGAGGCAGAGACCAGCUUGCUGCAUGCAGACUUGCUCUGAGUGGGCAGGAUUCUAGUGAUUGACCUGCCACUGGGAAUAAAGUUG